AUUGAACGCUGGCGGCGUGCCUAACACAUGCAAGUCGAGCGGAUGAACGGAGCUUGCUCCUGGCUUCAGCUGCGGACGGGUGGGUGAUUCCCACGAAUCUGCCUGAUAUAGGGGACUAACAUCCGUUAACGGGCGCUAAUACCGCAUCCGACCUUAGAGUGAACCUGGGGGAUCUUCGGACCUAACGCUAUCAGAUGACCCUAGGUCGGAUUAGCUAGUUGGUAGGGUAAAGUCCUACCAAGGCGACGUUCCGUAACUGGUCUGAGAGGAUGAUAGUCACACUGGAACUGAGACACGGUCCAGACUCCUACGGGAGGCAGCAGUAGGGAAUAUUGCACAAUGGGCGAAAGCCUGAUGCAGCAAUGCCGCGUGUGUGAAGAAGGUCUUCGGAUCGUAAAGCACUUUAAGUAGGGAGGAAGGACAGUAAGUUAAAACCUUGCUGUCUUGACGUUACCAACAGAAUAAGCAACGGCUAACUACGUG
This 483-nucleotide ribosomal RNA is filed under the name uncultured bacterium. Its description in RNAcentral is "partial 16S ribosomal RNA". It matches the Rfam family "Bacterial small subunit ribosomal RNA", at positions 30 to 507 of the family's 1533-position model. The record is from RNAcentral.